AUUGAACGCUGGCGGCAUGCUUUACACAUGCAAGUCGAACGGUAACGCGGGGCAACCUGGCGACGAGUGGCGAACGGGUGAGUAAUGCAUCGGAACGUGCCCGGUAGUGGGGGAUAACUGCUCGAAAGAGCAGCUAAUACCGCAUACGACCUGAGGGUGAAAGGGGGGGAUCGCAAGACCUCUCGCUAUUGGAGCGGCCGAUGUCGGAUUAGCUAGUUGGUGGGGUAAGGGCCCACCAAGGCGACGAUCCGUAGCUGGUCUGAGAGGACGACCAGCCACACUGGGACUGAGACACGGCCCAGACGCCUACGGGAGGCAGCAGUGGGGAAUUUUGGACAAUGGACGCAAGUCUGAUCCAGCCAUGCCGCGUGCGGGAAGAAGGCCUUCGGGUUGUAAACCGCUUUUGUCAGAGAAGAAAUCCUCUGGGUUAAUACCUCGGGAGGAUGACGGUAUCUGAAGAAUAAGCACCGGCUAACUACGUGCCAGCCGCCGCGGUAA
This 498-nucleotide ribosomal RNA is filed under the name uncultured bacterium. RNAcentral's name for it is "partial 16S ribosomal RNA". It matches the Rfam family "Bacterial small subunit ribosomal RNA", at positions 29 to 523 of the family's 1533-position model. The record is from RNAcentral.